Molecule: long non-coding RNA, 469 nt
Organism: Daphnia magna
Lineage: Eukaryota; Metazoa; Arthropoda; Branchiopoda; Diplostraca; Daphniidae
Exons: 3
Source: RefSeq, a predicted model, not a curated record
UAAACUAUUGGUGUAUUGCAUAACAGAUUUUUCCUUUUUUUCUAGAGGGAUUGCAGUCAAACGCUGGUUGGUGGUAACACAGAAGUUACUUCGUAGGCUGUGGUGGUAAACUGGUCUCUCGCAUACAGACAUCACCACAUAACAAUUCUGACAUUGCGUUAUUUUUAAAGACAUGGCCCAAAAAACUACUGCUGGAGCAUUGACGGAUAGUACCAGAGAAUACAGUCAGAUCAGAGAAUUGAUUAAUAGACUUCAAAGUGACUUGGGAUCUCAUACACCUCCAUUGCCUCAAAUUGUAGAAAAAGUAUGCUGGGUGGGAUGAAUGACAUGCUAACAAGGUGGGAGAUACCUCGUGUUAUCAGCACACAUUGAUAGAGCAGGUUUCCUAAAAAUUUAUUAACAGAUUGUUUUGUGAAUAUUGUCGGUUUAUUGGAGUAUUAAUAAUUUUUGAAUAGAGAAUACCAUGGAA